This 465-nucleotide ribosomal RNA is filed under the name Vreelandella stevensii. Its description in RNAcentral is "partial 16S ribosomal RNA". It matches the Rfam family "Bacterial small subunit ribosomal RNA", at positions 338 to 795 of the family's 1533-position model. The record is from RNAcentral. Lineage: Bacteria; Pseudomonadati; Pseudomonadota; Gammaproteobacteria; Oceanospirillales; Halomonadaceae.
CCUACGGGAGGCAGCAGUGGGGAAUAUUGGACAAUGGGGGCAACCCUGAUCCAGCCAUGCCGCGUGUGUGAAGAAGGCCCUCGGGGUGUAAAGCACUUUCAGUGAGGAAGAACGCCUGGUGGUGAAUACCCAUCAGGAAAGACAUCAUUCACAGAAGAAGCACCGGCUAACUCCGUGCCAGCAGCCGCGGUAAUACGGAGGGUGCGAGCGUUAAUCGGAAUUACUGGGCGUAAAGCGCGCGUAGGUGGCUUGAUAAGCCGGUUGUGAAAGCCCCGGGCUCAACCUGGGAACGGCAUCCGGAACUGUCAAGCUAGAGUGCAGGAGAGGAAGGUAGAAUUCCCGGUGUAGCGGUGAAAUGCGUAGAGAUCGGGAGGAAUACCAGUGGCGAAGGCGGCCUUCUGGACUGACACUGACACUGAGGUGCGAAAGCGUGGGUAGCAAACAGGAUUAGAUACCCCAGUAGUC